UACAGAGGGGGCAAGCGUUAUUCGGAAUUAAUGGGCGUAAAGGGCGCGUAGGCGGCCUGGCAAGUGGAUGGUGAAAUCCCUCGGCUUAACCGAGGAACUGCCGUCCAAACUGCUUGGCUUGAGUCCGGGAGAGGUGAGUGGAAUUCCCAGUGUAGCGGUGAAAUGCGUAGAUAUUGGGAGGAACACCAGUGGCGAAGGCGGCUCACUGGACCGGAACUGACGCUGAUGCGCGAAAGCGUGGGGAGCAAACGGG
This 253-nucleotide ribosomal RNA is filed under the name uncultured bacterium. Its description in RNAcentral is "partial 16S ribosomal RNA". It matches the Rfam family "Bacterial small subunit ribosomal RNA", at positions 524 to 776 of the family's 1533-position model. The record is from RNAcentral.